RNAcentral lists this ribosomal RNA (423 nucleotides) under uncultured bacterium. Its description in RNAcentral is "bacterial SSU rRNA". It matches the Rfam family "Bacterial small subunit ribosomal RNA", at positions 917 to 1338 of the family's 1533-position model. The record is from RNAcentral.
GGGCCCGCACAAGCGGUGGAGCAUGUGGUUUAAUUCGACGAUACGCGAAAAACCUUACCAGCUCUUGACAUGGGAUUUUGGACCUUGGAGACAAGGUUCUUCGGUUCGGCCGGGUCCCACACAGGUGCUGCAUGGCUGUCGUCAGCUCGUGUCGUGAGAUGUUGGGUUAAGUCCCGCAACGAGCGCAACCCUUGUCCCUAGUUGCUAACAGGUUAUGCUGAGAACUUUAGGGAGACUGCCGGUGACAAACUGGAGGAAGGAAAGGAUGAUGUCAAGUCAUCAUGGCCCUUAUGGGCUGAGCUACACACGUGCUACAAUGGUGGUUACAAAAAGACGCAAUAGGGCGACCUGGAGCAAAUCUAUAAAAGCCACUCAGUUCGGAUUGUUCUCUGCAACUCGAGAGCAUGAAGUUGGAAUCGCUAG